This 253-nucleotide ribosomal RNA is filed under the name uncultured bacterium. Its description in RNAcentral is "partial 16S ribosomal RNA". It matches the Rfam family "Bacterial small subunit ribosomal RNA", at positions 524 to 776 of the family's 1533-position model. The record is from RNAcentral.
UACGUAGGGAGCAAGCGUUGUCCGGAAUCAUUGGGCGUAAAGCGCGCGUAGGCGGCCCUGUAAGUCCGUUGUGAAAGUCAAAGGCUCAACCUUUGAAAGCCGAUGGAUACUGCAAGGCUAGAGUCCGGAAGAGGCGAGUGGAAUUCCUGGUGUAGCGGUGGAAUGCGCAGAUAUCAGGAGGAACACCAAUAGCGAAGGCAGCUCGCUGGGACGGUACUGACGCUAAGGCGCGAAAGCGUGGGGAGCGAACAGG